Molecule: transfer RNA, 77 nt
Filed under: Candidatus Bathyarchaeota archaeon
Lineage: Archaea; Thermoproteati; Candidatus Bathyarchaeota
Description: tRNA-Gly
Rfam family: tRNA
About the family: Transfer RNA (tRNA) molecules are approximately 80 nucleotides in length. Their secondary structure includes four short double-helical elements and three loops (D, anti-codon, and T loops). Further hydrogen bonds mediate the characteristic L-shaped molecular structure. tRNAs have two regions of fundamental functional importance: the anti-codon, which is responsible for specific mRNA codon recognition, and the 3' end, to which the tRNAs corresponding amino acid is attached (by aminoacyl-tRNA synthetases). tRNAs cope with the degeneracy of the genetic code in two manners: having more than one tRNA (with a specific anti-codon) for a particular amino acid; and 'wobble' base-pairing, i.e. permitting non-standard base-pairing at the 3rd anti-codon position.
Source: RNAcentral
GCGGCCGUAGUCUAGUUUGGUUAGGACAUCAGCCUGCCACGCUGAUGAGCCGGGUUCAAAUCCCGGCGGCCGCACCA